This is a long non-coding RNA of Mobula hypostoma (lesser devil ray), 378 nucleotides long. RefSeq lists it as uncharacterized. The record is from RefSeq and is a predicted model, not a curated record. The transcript is spliced from 3 exons. NCBI's taxonomy places the organism in Eukaryota, Metazoa, Chordata, Chondrichthyes, Myliobatiformes, Myliobatidae.
GGAGCACAUAAAAGUCAACACAUGAACAAGAACAUACUCAGAGACUGAGCCUUCCUGCUUUCCUGAAUGGAGAAUUUCAAAGAUCCACUGUUCACUGGGUAAGGAUGUUUGUCCUCAUCAGUCCUGAAUAGACAACCGCUUACUUGGAGACCCCUGAAAGAUAUACUUCAGCCACUAUAAAUCCAAGUCAUAACCCACAUAUUUAACAGAAGCACAUAUGUGAAUAUCAGCCUAUGAUAUUCCAACCAAUAAAAUGAAUCGCUGGAAGAUGGUGGCCUACACAUGACCCAUUUCCCCAUUUGUCCUCAGCAUGUGAUAUUUUGCAGUACGAAUAUUGAAGACAAAUAACUCCCUUAAUCAUUGUGAGAAAAAUUAACA